AGUGAACGCUGGCGGUAGGCCUAACACAUGCAAGUCGAACGGCAGCACAGUAAGAGCUUGCUCUUACGGGUGGCGAGUGGCGGACGGGUGAGGAAUACAUCGGAAUCUACUUUUUCGUGGGGGAUAACGUAGGGAAACUUACGCUAAUACCGCAUACGACCUACGGGUGAAAGCAGGGGAUCUUUGGACCUUGCGCGAUUGAAUGAGCCGAUGUCGGACUAGCUAGUUGGCGGGGUAAAGGCCCACCAAGUCGACGAUCCGUAGCUGGUCUGAGAGGAUGAUCAGCCACACUGGAACUGAGACACGGUCCAGACUCCUACGGGAGGCAGCAGUGGGGAAUAUUGGACAAUGGUCGCAAGCCUGAUCCAGCCAUACCGCGUGGGUGAAGAAGGCCUUCGGGUUGUAAAGCCCUUUUGUUGGGAAAGAAAAGCAGCAGGUUAAUACCCCGCUGUUCUGACGGUACCCAAAGAAUAAGCACCGGCUAACUUCGUG
This 492-nucleotide ribosomal RNA is filed under the name uncultured bacterium. RNAcentral describes it as "partial 16S ribosomal RNA". It matches the Rfam family "Bacterial small subunit ribosomal RNA", at positions 29 to 507 of the family's 1533-position model. The record is from RNAcentral.